GAACGCUAGCUACAGGCUUAACACAUGCAAGUCGCGGGGUAACAUCUGGGAGAGCUUGCUCUUCCAGGAUGACGACCGGCGCACGGGUGAGUAACGCGUAUCCAACCUGGCCCAUACCACGGGAUAGCCCGUCGAAAGGCGGAUUAAUACCGUAUGCUGUCAUUAAGAUGCAUAUAUUGAUGACGAAAGGAUUUGGCGGUUAUGGAUGGGGAUGCGUCCGAUUAGCUUGUUGGCGGGGUAACGGCCCACCAAGGCUACGAUCAGUAGGGGUUCUGAGAGGAAGGUCCCCCACAUUGGAACUGAGACACGGUCCAAACUCCUACGGGAGGCAGCAGUGAGGAAUAUUGGUCAAUGGGCGAGAGCCUGAACCAGCCAAGUAGCGUGCAGGAUGACGGCCCUAUGGGUUGUAAACUGCUUUUAUAAGGGAAUAAAGUGAGCCUCGUGAGGCUUUUUGCAUGUACCUUAUGAAUAAGGACCGGCUAAUUCCGUG
Molecule: ribosomal RNA, 490 nt
Filed under: uncultured bacterium
Lineage: Bacteria
Description: bacterial SSU rRNA
Rfam family: Bacterial small subunit ribosomal RNA
Source: RNAcentral